UGGCGGCAUGCCUUACACAUGCAGUCGAACGGCAUCGCGGGAAAGCUUGCUUUCCUGGCGGCGAGUGGCGAACGGGUGAGUAACACAUCGGAACGUACCGGCUAGUGGGGGAUAACCCGUCGAAAGACGGGCUAAUACCGCAUACGCUCUUCGGAGGAAAGCAGGGGACCUUUGGGCCUUGCGCUAGCCGAGCGGCCGAUGUCCGAUUAGCUAGUUGGUAGGGUAAAGGCCUACCAAGGCGACGAUCGGUAGCGGGUCUGAGAGGACGAUCCGCCACACUGGGACUGAGACACGGCCCAGACUCCUACGGGAGGCAGCAGUGGGGAAUCUUGGACAAUGGGGGCAACCCUGAUCCAGCAAUGCCGCGUGGGUGAAGAAGGCCUUCGGGUUGUAAAGCCCUUUCGGCAGGGAAGAAAUCGGCGGGGCGAAUAACCCUGCUGGAUGACGGUACCUGCAGAAGAAGCACCGGCUAACUACGUGCCAGCA
RNAcentral lists this ribosomal RNA (486 nucleotides) under Hydrogenophilus thermoluteolus. Its description in RNAcentral is "bacterial SSU rRNA". It matches the Rfam family "Bacterial small subunit ribosomal RNA", at positions 37 to 513 of the family's 1533-position model. Lineage: Bacteria; Pseudomonadati; Pseudomonadota; Hydrogenophilia; Hydrogenophilales; Hydrogenophilaceae. The record is from RNAcentral.